Molecule: ribosomal RNA, 535 nt
Filed under: Hepatozoon silvestris
Lineage: Eukaryota; Apicomplexa; Hepatozoidae
Description: partial small subunit ribosomal RNA
Source: RNAcentral
UUAAAAGCUUUUUAAAGUAUCAAUUGGAGGGCAAGUCUGGUGCCAGCAGCCGCGGUAAUUCCAGCUCCAAUAGCGUAUAUUAAAAUUGUUGCAGUUAAAAAGCUCGUAGUUGAAUUUCUGUUAAAAAUAACCGGUCUGCUUUUAUUAUUAGUAAAAGUGGUAUCUUGGCUUUUUUUUUAGCAAUAAUGUCCUUGGAGAUGUUUUUUACUUACUUUAUUGUAAUAAAUUAUGUUGAGGAUUUUUACUUUGAGAAAAUUAGAGUGUUUCUAGCAGGCUAACGCUUUGAAUACUGCAGCAUGGAAUAAUAAAAUAGGAUUUUGGUUCUACAUUAUUGGUUUUAARAACUAAAUUAAUGAUUGAUAGGGACAGUUGGGGGCAUUUGUAUUUAACUGUCAGAGGUGAAAUUCUUAGAUUUGUUAAAGACAAACUACUGCGAAAGCAUUUGCCAAAGAUGUUUUCAUUAAUCAAGAACGAAAGUUAGGGGAUCGAAGACGAUCAGAUACCGUCGUAGUCUUAACUAUAAACUAUGCCGACU